ACAAAUAAAAAUAUGUGUAUGUAUAUAUGUAUAUUUAAAUUUUGAUAUGAAACGUAAAGAUUUUUAAAGAAUUUUUGAAUAUUUCGGGUAGUUUCGAAAAUAAUUAUUUACAUUUUUAUUUUUAUCAAGAAAACUUUCUGCGGUCGUGCCUAAAGAAAAAAAAAAAGAAAAAAGAGAAAUUAAAGAAAUUAAAGAAAUUAAAGAAAUUAGUUCAUAUCGAUAAAACAAAAAGUUUCAAGAUCAUCGGAGAUAAUUUCCAUUUUUCCAUAGAUCGAAGAGACUUGGUUUUUUAUUUUCAUUCUUAUUUUUAUUUUUUUUUUUUUUUUUUUUUCACCGAUAUAUGUACAUAUAUAUUAUACAAUGUUCAUUAUUUUAACGUCUAAUUAAUAGAUUUAUUUUCUAGAGUUAGUACUUCGCGAGAAAGAAAAAAUACGUGAUUAUAAUAUUCUACUCGAUAGAGAGAGAAUGCAUGUUUUUUUGCGUACGUGGAUAUAUCUACUAGGCUGGAUGCACCCAUUCGUCGUAUACUUUCGUGUACGAUCGUGCUCCGAGGGUCAGCAGCGUGCAUGCAUGCGUGCAUGCAUAUAUGUAUGUGUCGUGUGUGCUUGCUGCGUGCGUGCGUGCGUCGUACGCUUGUCUCUUCUUCGUUAUGUAAAAUAGUAUUUUUAUAAAGGCAAAACAGUGUACGCAAGGUCCAUAAAGUCACGACGUUAAAGAAAAAAAUAAAAAAAAAAAGGCGAGAAAGAGCACGUAAGAGAUGUGAUGACGAUGACGUUUGGAUUAAAUAAAAAUAAAGAUUCGUAAGAAAAAAAGUCAUACAUAUUGCCACAUGGGAAAAAAAAAGGGAAAAAAAAGAAGAAAAAGAGUAAUAAAUAUAAAUGCUGGCACGGAAUUGAGAAUUUUUUCUCACUAAAUGUUCCACGGAUGUCAUCUAUUUAUCUAGACGAAAUGUUCCAUUGGACUGCCAGCCAAUUGACUAAAAGUGCCAAUUUGAGCACAUACCCGAUGCUAAGAAAAAUUAAAUAAACGAUAAAAAAGAAAGAAAAAAAGAGAAAAGAAAACAAAUCUGUAAAAACGUGCAAAACACAAAACACUGUGUUCCCUUCUCAAAAGAGAAACAAAUAAUUGUGUAUGUAUGUGUAUAUCUAUAUAUAAUAUAUAUAUAUAUACACACAUACAUAUAUAUAUGUAUAUAUAUAUAUAUUUAUAUAUAUAUAUAUAUCAAUACAUUGGUCUCCAUGUAGUUCUCUUAAGUUUUCUUUUUUUCUAAUAGAUAUUAUCAAGCGUUCAAAUGAAUAAAAAUCUGAAGUUACUGAUAAAUUUAUCGUAUUUGUUAGUAGGAUCGAUCCAUUCGUACAUUUAAUUUCGGAUACAUAGAUCACACAGGAGUAUAUACCUAAAUCGAUUUUCACUUCUUUUCUUUUUUUCUUUAUUUUUCUUCUUUUUUUUUUUAUAUUAAUUAAUUCGCAAUAUUAAAAAAGUAAAACUUCUUGUGUAUAUAUUCUACUGCUUCUAAAUUCCAACAAAGGAAACAGAAUGAAAAAUUUUUUUAUCUUAGUUCAGAUUUCUGCUUAUUUUUAUUCAUGCAAAUCAUUUCAUAUAGAAAUUUUUUUAAUUUCAAAAUCCUAUAUAAAUAUUGGUACAUAUAUAUAUAAAUAUAUAUAACAAUUUUAAUAAACCCAGCCUUGGUACUGUAUGAAAUAGUUAUCUGAAAAAAUGUGAAUGUAUUAAUGAAAUGUGAAACUUCACUUAUAAAAAAUGUAUUCUUUUAUCCAUUUAAGUUAUGUAAAAAUGUCGAUAAUUAAAUUUCACUUAAAAUACCA
Vespa crabro (European hornet) is the source of this 1823-nucleotide long non-coding RNA. RefSeq lists it as uncharacterized. The record is from RefSeq and is a predicted model, not a curated record. Lineage: Eukaryota; Metazoa; Arthropoda; Insecta; Hymenoptera; Vespidae. The transcript has 2 exons.